Molecule: long non-coding RNA, 421 nt
Organism: Bolinopsis microptera
Lineage: Eukaryota; Metazoa; Ctenophora; Tentaculata; Lobata; Bolinopsidae
Exons: 3
Source: RefSeq, a predicted model, not a curated record
AGCAGAAUGCUGCCUCGCCGCAUAAGACUUGAUAAAGGCACAGAGACUGGAUACUUAGCUGCUAUUCAUAUGUUUCUCAUGGAGCGACAUGGCAUUUCCCAAGAAGACGUAGAAAGUGUCCUUCUUGGUCCUUCUACUGACAACAAAAUAGAGAGGUUGUGGAGAGACGUGCGUGAGAAAGUGGGCGACCCCUACAAAUUGAUUCUAAAUCGACUAUCAGACGAUGGGCUGUACGAUCCAACGUGUCAAGACGAUAGGGAAAUUCUGGCUGGUGUGUUUGUUCCUGUUAUCGAGAAAGACUUGAACAAAUUCGUACGUUAUCACAACACAAGCAGGAUUAAGUCUCAAUCUAACGUACUGCUACCGACCGGAGCAAUACCUGAACAUAUGUAUGAGUGCCCUGAAGAUUACGCUCCUGGGA